Molecule: long non-coding RNA, 222 nt
Filed under: Physcomitrium patens
Lineage: Eukaryota; Viridiplantae; Streptophyta; Bryopsida; Funariales; Funariaceae
Description: long non-coding RNA (PPAT_LNC011423)
Source: RNAcentral
UUGCGAGGAUAUUGUACAAUUAAAGUGGAGCUAUAUAGAAUAAGUAAAUAAAAUUUGUGGUAAGUUACUGGUUGAUUAUUGAUAACCUUGAGAAUUAGACUGAUAGUUAGGCAAUUUAGUUGGUAAUAGUAGAUUGUUAGUGGAAUAAAUAAUUAAGAAUUCAAAUGGUCAUAACCUUUGGAAUCUACUGGCCGACGGAUCAUUUUUUUUUGUAGGAUAAAU